This is a long non-coding RNA of Rosa rugosa (rugosa rose), 1015 nucleotides long. RefSeq lists it as uncharacterized. The transcript has 6 exons. Lineage: Eukaryota; Viridiplantae; Streptophyta; Magnoliopsida; Rosales; Rosaceae. The record is from RefSeq and is a predicted model, not a curated record.
AUACUAAAGCUCGGUUGGCACUGUACACUGUUCAUCUUGGCCUGAAAUGAAGUGACGGUUUUGCCCUUGAUACUUACCUCAACCACGGUUUUGCCAUUAUUUUACGGAUGAGGCAGAUGGAGGCUUCGAGAGAGAGAGAGAGAGAGACAGCAAUUCUGAGAGGGAAGAAACCAUAGAGGUUUGGGUUCGUUUUGGAAGAGGUUCGGUUUCAGUACAGAGGGAAGGAGAGACAGAAACACUGAGAGCGAAGUAGAGGUCCAUAGCAAGAUUUGGAUCGGGUUUGGGAGGGAUCUUUUAGGAAAAGAAGAGGUGUGGCUUUAUCUGGAAGAAGUGUGUGCCUAGAUUUUGAUCGAGUUUAAGAGACAGGUUUUAGCCUUUUAGGAGCAAAAGAGAGCUUGGGCUGAACUUUUGGAGCGAAGUGCAUUGGAACUCACUAUAUGCUACUGCAGAUGUUCCCACAAGAAGUCCUAGAAAGAACCAUUGGUUUUCCUACACUGAAUUAGAAAGCUGACAGACCAUGAUAUAAUCUUAGUCUGCUUGCUGGAAAUUGGCUUUAGCUCGGGCGAUGUAUUUAUAAAAAAUAAAAUAAAAAUUUGGUCAAGGCUGCAGAUUAUGUUGAGCAGGUACAUGAUGGGAAAUUGUUGGUGAAUGGUGAAAUUCAAAAUGAAAAUUACAUAUUGAAGCCUCUUGCCUAUGAAAUGGAACCAAUCCUGGAGCAGCCAGUUUUUUGAACCAACUCCAGCAGCAACUUUAGCUACGCUAACCUAUUAUGCACAAUUACAACUGGAGCAGCUACCUUUUUUUGUUCUGGUACAACUGGAGCAACUACAUAUUUAAAUAUACUCCAGCAACAAGUUUAACUAGGUUAGCCUAUUUUUGAACAGACUUCAACUAAAAUGAAAAAUGUAAGGAAAACCCUCCGUGGUUUAAACUUAAUGACUGGAAUGUAAGUAAUUUGAAUAUCUAUGUAUUUUUGAAUGAAGUCUGCAUUACAUAUAAGUAACCUUAAAUGCUA